This 334-nucleotide unclassified non-coding RNA is filed under the name soil metagenome. RNAcentral describes it as "partial contains 5.8S ribosomal RNA, internal transcribed spacer 2, and large subunit ribosomal RNA". The stretch from base 1 to 120 matches the Rfam family "5.8S ribosomal RNA", at positions 35 to 154 of the family's 154-position model. The record is from RNAcentral.
GAUGAAGAACGUAGCGAAAUGCGGUACGUAAUGUGAAUUGCAGAAUUCAGUGAAUCAUCGAAUCUUUGAACGCACAUUGCGCCCGCCAGCACUCUGGCGGGCAUGCCUGUUCGAGCGUCAUUUCAACCAUCAAGCCCCAGGCUUGCGUUGGAGCCCUGCGGCUGCCGCAGCCUCCUAAAAGCAGUGGCGGGCUCGCUAUCACACCGAGUGCAGUAGAUUACUCUUCGCUCAGGGCGUGCAGCGGGUUCCGGCCGUGAAACCCCCUACUUUUAAAGGUUGACCUCGGAUCAGGUAGGAAUACCCGCUGAACUUAAGCAUAUCAAUAAGCGGAGGA